This 1392-nucleotide ribosomal RNA is filed under the name Bifidobacterium pseudocatenulatum. Its description in RNAcentral is "partial 16S ribosomal RNA". The record is from RNAcentral. Lineage: Bacteria; Bacillati; Actinomycetota; Actinomycetes; Bifidobacteriales; Bifidobacteriaceae.
GGCUCCAUCCACAAAGGGUUAGGCCACCGGCUUCGGGUGCUACCCACUUUCAUGACUUGACGGGCGGUGUGUACAAGGCCCGGGAACGCAUUCACCGCGGCGUUGCUGAUCCGCGAUUACUAGCGACUCCGCCUUCAUGGAGUCGGGUUGCAGACUCCAAUCCGAACUGAGACCGGUUUUCAGGGAUCCGCUCCACGUCACCGUGUCGCAUCCCGUUGUACCGGCCAUUGUAGCAUGCGUGAAGCCCUGGACGUAAGGGGCAUGAUGAUCUGACGUCAUCCCCACCUUCCUCCGAGUUGACCCCGGCGGUCCCCCGUGAGUUCCCACCAUGACGUGCUGGCAACACAGGGCGAGGGUUGCGCUCGUUGCGGGACUUAACCCAACAUCUCACGACACGAGCUGACGACGACCAUGCACCACCUGUGAACCCGCCCCGAAGGGAGGCCAUAUCUCUACGGCUGUCGGGAACAUGUCAAGCCCAGGUAAGGUUCUUCGCGUUGCAUCGAAUUAAUCCGCAUGCUCCGCCGCUUGUGCGGGCCCCCGUCAAUUUCUUUGAGUUUUAGCCUUGCGGCCGUACUCCCCAGGCGGGAUGCUUAACGCGUUAGCUCCGACACGGAACCCGUGGAACGGGCCCCACAUCCAGCAUCCACCGUUUACGGCGUGGACUACCAGGGUAUCUAAUCCUGUUCGCUCCCCACGCUUUCGCUCCUCAGCGUCAGUAACGGCCCAGAGACCUGCCUUCGCCAUUGGUGUUCUUCCCGAUAUCUACACAUUCCACCGUUACACCGGGAAUUCCAGUCUCCCCUACCGCACUCCAGCCCGCCCGUACCCGGCGCAGAUCCACCGUUAAGCGAUGGACUUUCACACCGGACGCGACGAACCGCCUACGAGCCCUUUACGCCCAAUAAUUCCGGAUAACGCUUGCACCCUACGUAUUACCGCGGCUGCUGGCACGUAGUUAGCCGGUGCUUAUUCGAAAGGUACACUCACCCGAAGGCUUGCUCCCGAUCAAAAGCGGUUUACAACCCGAAGGCCGUCAUCCCGCACGCGGCGUCGCUGCAUCAGGCUUGCGCCCAUUGUGCAAUAUUCCCCACUGCUGCCUCCCGUAGGAGUCUGGGCCGUAUCUCAGUCCCAAUGUGGCCGGUCGCCCUCUCAGGCCGGCUACCCGUCGUAGGCUCGGUGGGCCGUUACCCCGCCGACUACCUGAUAGGACGCGACCCCAUCCCAUACCGAUGAAAUCUUUCCCGACACCCCAUGCGAGGAGUCGGAGCAUCCGGCAUUACCACCCGUUUCCAGGAGCUAUUCCGGUGUAUGGGGCAGGUCGGUCACGCAUUACUCACCCGUUCGCCACUCUCACCACCAAGCAAAGCCUGAUGGAUCCCGUCGACUGCA